UACAGAGGGUGCGAGCGUUAAUCGGAAUUAUUGGGCGUAAAGGGCUCGUAGGCGGUUUGUCGCGUCGGGAGUGAAAACCAGGUGCUUAACACCUGGCUUGCUUUCGAUACGGGCAGACUAGAGGUAUUCAGGGGAGAACGGAAUUCCUGGUGUAGCGGUGAAAUGCGCAGAUAUCAGGAGGAACACCGGUGGCGAAGGCGGUUCUCUGGGAAUGACCUGACGCUGAGGAGCGAAAGUGUGGGGAGCGAACAGG
Molecule: ribosomal RNA, 253 nt
Filed under: uncultured bacterium
Lineage: Bacteria
Description: partial 16S ribosomal RNA
Rfam family: Bacterial small subunit ribosomal RNA
Source: RNAcentral